AGUGUUGUGAUGGCAAAUAUUGAGCUGGAAAGAACCAAAAAUCUAAGUACAAAGGAAGACUGGUCCAGACUAGUAGCACUAUCUCCUCUAUUCCAGCUGAUGAAGGAAGUGGAGCAACAGCUCAGGGAUAGUGCCAGAGAUAGAGGCCUUCUCAAGAUCCAGCCUUCAGGUGCAGGCCAGUCAUUCAUGGAUUUCAUGGAUGCCCAGUGGGAGUGUGAGGGAGAGCUGAUUCAAGUGAGCUCUGAAACCCUCAACCCACGACAGCUUCUGCUCUACCAGCAUGGACAGUUUCUCCUCCAGCACCUUCACUUACAUAAAAUGAUACCAGCAGUAACCCUUCAACUGGCUUCUACUCUUCCUUUCAACGACUACCAUAACAAUGCUUUCCGCAACUCUUUCUAUUAUCAGGAGGGACAGAAGACUCUGUUUGUUCGCAGUCAGAGAUUGCAAUCGGUGGGUGGCCUCUCUCUGCUGCUAAUGCACUGUGCUGCACACAUUUCCAUCGGCCAGAUGAGGACUGACACCAUUCCUGCCUUUCAAAGAGCCUUCUUCAAGGUUUUACAGGUGGGCUUAAGUGAGCUGUUCCAUGCCAGGCUGGGACAAACUGAUAGUCCAGAUGAUGAGAGGACGAAAGAUUUGGCGUCUGACGCAGCUCUCAAUGGUCUUCUGCUGGAAAGAGUCCAGAAGCCAAGUCCUGGGAUUUUUUCAGAGCAUGAGGUUUUGGGACGUCUGCGCAAAUACAGAGAGGCUUCAGUGUUCCGCCAGGUCGAGAGUCUCCUAAAAGAGUCUCCAAAGAGCCUGGAGAUCAACCACCUCAACACUGACCCGUCACUCAACGACGACCCAGAAAGCCAAGCCGCUGCUCCUCCAUGAACUGACAUUUUAACUUUGAACAGUGCUGCCUCUCUGACAGUGAUGAAUCCAGCUUUCAAAGGCAUGUUAUGUGCUGUGAGGCAGCUGAUGGCCUUAUGGUCUUGGACGGUAGAGCAUCUAUUUUUGCUUCUGGUGGUGACCCAGCACAGCUACUUUCUUGUACAGAAGUUGAAAAAAUGGCACUAAGAAAAAAACAUUAAAAUGGGCAAUAUUUCCAUGCACUGCAUAGGCUCAGCAAACAAACCUCUGUUGAAUCCAGUUUUAAUGUAGUUUUCGAAAAUAAAGGCAUGUUACAGAAUUUGACCGUUUGAUUGGACGGGUGCAGUUUCUUAAGAAAAGAAACUAAACAAUACAGGGGGUAGUGAAAAUAUAAUGAAUGAAAUGAAUAUAAUUGAAUGAAAAUAUAAUCUUGAAAUUUUAAUAAAUAAAUUUAGACAAUGUACAAAUACGGUGUCAUACAAAAUGAAAAGUCACAUAAAAUGAACAGUAGAAAUAAAGAGAAUUAAAAAUGAACAGAAUUAACUAAAUUAAAUUGAUCAAUUAACUUAUUGAAUAUAAAUGUAUGAUUAUAAAUUUGCUCAAAUAGUAAAAUAAAAAAAUCCAAUAUAGUGUUUCCACACCUUUCCAAAAGAAGAGAGAAAGAUGUCAAAUUGACUGUAUUUACUGUAUCUUUACAUUUUUUAAACAUGAGCAUAUAUACA
Cyprinus carpio carpio is the source of this 1574-nucleotide long non-coding RNA. The record is from Ensembl. NCBI's taxonomy places the organism in Eukaryota, Metazoa, Chordata, Actinopteri, Cypriniformes, Cyprinidae.